CAACUGCGCCAUAAUCCGACAGGAUUUGUCUCCUUCCUCGUCACGGCUGGUUUCGGCGCUAAAGAUGGGCCUCCGCCUCCCUGGAGAUGAGCCAAUCAGAGAUGGAACGGACAGAGCGGUCGCCAGCCAUGGGUCCACCUUCCCAGAGCCGAACCCUUCAUGUGCUGUUAUUGGGGUGCCUGACAGCCGAAGUCAAAGGCAGCUCCCAGGGGAAGCAUGUGAGGCCUGAAGAAGAAAUCAGCGGCCAGAGCAGCACACCCACACAGCUGUGGGUCGGCGCAGUGAUUUCGGCGCAGCGAACAAUGGAGGGAGCGGGACGGCCGGGAUCUCGACACGGGGCUCGACCCCACUGCAUGAGGAAGACGGCGGAGGGGAGGCGGAGAAGAAGACGCGGCUGCGCUGUGAUGGCAGGGAAACCUUUAUUAGGGAAUGUUGUUGUCAAACGGCCUCGUCGCGUCCCUUGGCUUCCCGUGCAUUUCGGCCCGAAAUAUCGUUGCCCAAGUGACCCCUUCGAUGUCAGCGGUACCAGGCGAGGACAGACAGAUUUCCUAUGAUUUUUCAUUUUUAUUUUUAAAUUUAAUAGAUUAACUGUGCAGCACCGGGUCACAACAGCAUAAAAAGAGAAACGGGGCGCAGAUCAUGCAAAUUUGUCCACAUGCACGAAACAAGGGCAAGGGGUUACCGCAUUUCCAGGGUAAGAUGACAGACAGCUGUCUAAAAGGAACCGAAAAGGUGUCGAUCCAUUCCGAAACUGGCCUGAGUUAUCGUGAGGAACAAAUGUCAAUUUUUUCCAGCGAAACUGAACACUUUGCUGACCCACAUAUUAGAUUCAUGUCGAUCCCCAGGAGUACAACAGUGUAACAGAAAUACACUAGGAAUACAGUAAAAUAUACUUAGUUGCCCAGUAAGAAUAGCUCAGACCUUACCACCCGGGUUCACAACUGCACUCCUCACGCAGCGCCCCGCCCCACCCGGAGCAAUGCCAGGCGCCCCAGGCCCGCCGUCCCCCCCAUUGGUCCCCUGAUCCUGCAGGAGCGGGUGAUAGACCCGGGGGGGAAUCGCAUGCUGCUUCUGACUGACCAGAAAGGGAUUUUCUGAGGUCCUGUGCAAUUGAAGGAAUAAUACACUCUUUUUAAAUCUUUUUUUACAUCUCCCCACCCCCGCCCCUUUUCCCAGAACACGCUUCACUACUGAAUUAAUGGUUUUUAUCAUGCAGCUGUCAAAGAAUACCCAACACUGAGCCCUGUGUCUGUGUACCAGGGUUCAAAUGGUCUCAGGAGGAACAACUGGCAUUCCACAGCUCCUCCUGUUCUUCUGAAGGAGCUACUAUUUCCCAACUAACUUGCUUCACUUGCCUCUAGUGGUAAUUUGAAAUUCCGUGGUGUAAAAAUUCUGAGCGGUUCAAUGUUAUUGGCUCCUGUGGUGAACUCUGACCUCUGAUUGGCUACCUUCACUCCCCCUAAAGUUCAUUUCAGUAUAAGGUAACAGGUGUCACACUUUUUCUUACAGAUGUCACCUUGAAACCUGAGGGUGCUCAGUUUGAAUCCUCAACCA
Molecule: long non-coding RNA, 1554 nt
Organism: Scleropages formosus (Asian bonytongue)
Lineage: Eukaryota; Metazoa; Chordata; Actinopteri; Osteoglossiformes; Osteoglossidae
Source: Ensembl